RNAcentral lists this ribosomal RNA (492 nucleotides) under uncultured bacterium. RNAcentral describes it as "partial 16S ribosomal RNA". It matches the Rfam family "Bacterial small subunit ribosomal RNA", at positions 29 to 507 of the family's 1533-position model. The record is from RNAcentral.
AGUGAACGCUGGCGGUAGGCCUAACACAUGCAAGUCGAACGGCAGCACAGUAAGAGCUUGCUCUUACGGGUGGCGAGUGGAGGACGGGUGAGGAAUACAUCGGAAUCUACUUUUUCGUGGGGGAUAACGUAGGGAAGCUUACGCUAAUACCGCAUACGACCUACGGGUGAAAGCAGGGGAUCUUCGGACCUUGCGCGAUUGAAUGAGCCGAUGUCGGAUUAGCUAGUUGGCGGGGUAAAGGCCCACCAAGGCGACGAUCCGUAGCUGGUCUGAGAGGAUGAUCAGCCACACUGGAACUGAGACACGGUCCAGACUCCUACGGGAGGCAGCAGUGGGGAAUAUUGGACAAUGGGCGCAAGCCUGAUCCAGCCAUACCGCGUGGGUGAAGAAGGCCUUCGGGUUGUAAAGCCCUUUUGUUGGGAAAGAAAAGCAGCAGGUUAAUACCCCGCUGUUCUGACGGUACCCAAAGAAUAAGCACCGGCUAACUUCGUG